This 440-nucleotide ribosomal RNA is filed under the name uncultured Sphingobacteriales bacterium. RNAcentral describes it as "bacterial SSU rRNA". It matches the Rfam family "Bacterial small subunit ribosomal RNA", at positions 941 to 1382 of the family's 1533-position model. Lineage: Bacteria; Pseudomonadati; Bacteroidota; Sphingobacteriia; Sphingobacteriales. The record is from RNAcentral.
GUUGGUUUAAUUCGAUGAUACGCGAGGUAACCUUACCUGGCUUAAAUGUAGAGUGCAUUUUUUUAGAGAUAGAAUCCCUUCGGGCUUUCUGCAAGGUGCUGCAUGGUUGUCGUCAGCUCGUGCCGUGAGGUGUCGGGUUAAGUCCCAUAACGAGCGCAACCCUUAUCGUUAGUUGCCAGCUGGUAAAGCAGGGGACUCUAGCGAAACUGCCACCGUAAGGUGAGAGGAAGGUGGGGAUGACGUCAAAUCAGCACGGCCCUUAUGUCCAGGGCUACACACGUGUUACAAUGGCCGGCACAGAGGGCAGCUACCUGGUGACAGGAUGCUAAUCUCGAAAACCGGUCUCAGUUCGGAUCGAAGUCUGCAACUCGACUUCGUGAAGCUGGAUUCGCUAGUAAUCGCGCAUCAGCCAUGGCGCGGUGAAUACGUUCCCGGGCCUU